GGACCCGUAGUAUAGUGGAUAGUACGGUGGCUUGCGGAGCCACAAACCCGGGUUCGAGCCCCGGCGGGUCCG
Molecule: transfer RNA, 72 nt
Filed under: archaeon
Lineage: Archaea
Also listed under: 1 other name
Description: tRNA-Arg
Rfam family: tRNA
About the family: Transfer RNA (tRNA) molecules are approximately 80 nucleotides in length. Their secondary structure includes four short double-helical elements and three loops (D, anti-codon, and T loops).
Source: RNAcentral